Molecule: long non-coding RNA, 3416 nt
Filed under: Volvox carteri
Lineage: Eukaryota; Viridiplantae; Chlorophyta; Chlorophyceae; Chlamydomonadales; Volvocaceae
Description: long non-coding RNA (VCAR_LNC002995)
Source: RNAcentral
AAAUAUUUGGAGGGAAAUGUAGCGUACUACACAAUAACAUCGUCGGCUAGCAUGCAUAGCUAUAGCUACCCCAUCCAGAAAUCCUACAUAACUCUAGCCAACCAAUUACACAGCCGAUUAAAUGAGACGCCCACCUAGGCCUUGAACCUACCCAUGUGGCACAUAUACAUCCCCAUGUACAGGCAGGUGCUUUAGGAUGUGAUGCCCACCUUCGUACUUAUUACUCAACAUAUGCAUAUGAAUCGCCUGCUGGUCUACAUUUCUUCAUGCCUAUGCAUGCAUGCAUGCAUGCAUGCAUGCAUGUGCAUGCAUAGGCAUCCAGCAGGCUAUCGGAGCCAUGUACAGGAGCUCGCAAACAUUAACGACGAAACUGCUAUAUGUCUGUAUCAACCAAUAAAGCUCAUUCAUGUCAGAACGGAAUAGUGCUAGUUACGUUUUAUAGAUGCUUUCCAUUGGCAGUGAUACAGACUGAAGGCGGACGAUCCUCCCUUGUUUUCCUGCUGUGUGCAGGACUUUACGCAGGACCUUUUCCCUUGAUGUCCUAUGAAAUCGUAAAGACAUGUACAUGUGCUUCAGUAGAAGACUGCGAUUGCAGCCAUACAAACAUCCCAGCAACACAUAAAAUGCCCACAUUGAGGAUUGAACUCAAGACCUUUCCCUUACGAAGGGAACGCUCUACCACUAAGCUAUAUAGGCGCUCACAAAUCGUAAAAUGUUCAGAUAUAUAGCUCUACUAGGCACACAUACAUGGGUAUCCCAUCUAUGUAUGGGUAGGUGCGUACAUUUUAGAUACACAACACCUACUCACACAUUGUGUUUCAGUGCAACCCAUCGCUAAGUCCCGCAUCUGGCCUCUUUUUGCCCUGAGUCAGUCAGUCGGUCGGUCCCUUGGUUUGUCCAUAACGCAUGAUAAUGGUUAUUGGCUCAAUUAUAUGUGAUGAGACAAGAACCAAUACCAUUUAACAUCCGCCAUAUCCAACAUAGAAUCGAUUUGACAAUCAAGACCCAUACGAGCGAAAUGUCUUCCAUGUCGAUCAUCAUGCACUGAAAGACCGGCCGUACUGACAUAUCUGAUCCGUUUUGACUUGAAAGUUGACUAAAGCUGUGGAAUGGAGCCUGAAGGCAGGUAGCCGUGCGUCACCACACCCUAUGAUAACAAGUGGAUGCACCAGGAUAAAAUAACAAUGGAUCUGGUCUGAGAAUGCAUGAAUGCCUUCCAUGAAUGGUAGGUGAUCACCAUUGACCAGCCUCACCUAUGUAACUGCUCAACCUACUUAUUAUAUUAUUAGAUGUAACCACACGUACACAGCAUGCAUGCUAUGUGCAUGCGGGUAGGAAUGCAUAUGCAAAGUGUGUACAAGCAUGCUGAUUGUUGGUAAGGUCCUCAUGACAUGGUUGCACAGUGCAGUGCCCAUACCACAUACAGGCUAUCGAUAGGGGUGAUAGAAACCGCCCCUGCGGUCUGCGCAGGAUACAUCAGGUUGGGGUGAAAAACCUACUUCUGCUUCGCUGCAAGAGGAUUUCUGCACGCUUCUGACAGACACUCUUGAGUCAAGGAGGGUCAAUACCAGGGCCCCUCCGUGAUCGAACCGGAGACCUGCUGAUCUGCAGUCAGCUGCUCUACCACUGAGCUAGAGACCCUUCGUUUCGUCGCUGAGGAGGAAGCUGUCGUGCGCGUGUGCCGGGGAGUUGCGGGAAUUGAACCCACAACCUCUCGCACCCUAAGCGAGAAUCAUACCACUAGACCAAACUCCCAAACAUGCCAUUGUUGUACGACACAAACAUACCACAACAACGCAAGCCGUACAUACACACACAUGAAAACGCACGCAUGAGACUCAUAUCUUGUCACCCUGGCGUCACCGGCCCCUGAAACUAGGGCAGAAGAAUGUAAGGAACGCUAUGCAUGUAUACAGAGGUUUUGUGCGCAUGAAUGAUUUGUGAUGCGAAUAAACCCCCCACAUCCAUGUUGUGCAAACAUCGGAGGUUACUGCUCUAUCUACAUUAAAAUCCUACCCUGCCGCACUUGGCCCAUCCAGCUACUAACUCAUAGGCAGGGCAUAUAGCAGCAUCUAUCUGUAUCCUUACAGAUCUAGUAGAUUGCAGCACGUGGCAGAUGCUCGCCUGGUGGCACGACUGACCUUGCGGAAGCGUGGAGCUUAGGGGCCUUGCUGAGGCGGGAAGGAGUCCAACCCAGCGACAGGCACUAGCUUACAUAGACAAGAUCGAAGCAACUAAGACGGUGGCAGCAGAGUCUUGGACUCCGAACACCAAGUAGUCGUGAUACUGAAGCUGGCCAGAGCACCCCGCCCGGGUAGCUUAUAUCUUGGCCUACCUGCCGGACGAAUCUCUACUACGGUCCUGUCGUACUGUACUAGGAUACUGUCGAUGGGGCCCGGGGCCCCAGCCUGUUAGGUGUCGCUACGAACAUCCGAUAUGUCCGUGUCAUGAUAUUGUGUGACAUGUACAUGUACGGAACUUGAGUCGAAUCGUCAACGGAAUUAACAGGUGUUGUUAUUAAUAAUCGUUAAAAUAUUUGGAGGGAAAUGUAGCAUACUACACAAUAACAUCGUCGGCUAGCAUGCAUAGCUAUAGCUACCCCAUCCAGAAAUCCUACAUAACUCUAGCCAACCAAUUACACAGCCGAUUAAAUGAGACGCCCACCUAGGCCUUGAACCUACCCAUGUGGCACAUGUACAUCCCCAUGUACAGGCAGGUGCUUUAGGAUGUGAUGCCCACCUUCGUACUUAUUACUCGACAUAUGCAUAUGAAUCGCCUGCUGGUCUACAUUUCUUCAUGCCUAUGCAUGCAUGCAUGCAUGUGUGUAUGUAUGUUGUUACAGGGUGGUUAACUUCGCCAGCGGCCCCCUUUCCCGGGGCAGUCCCUGCUCUCCCCUGCUAGAGGGGCACCCUAAUCCGUCACCCCAUCCGACUUCAGAAUGUAUUCGUUGGGUUCGGCAACUCACCACCAGCAUCCAACCAAAUCUAGCGGAUCAACGGCGCAUCAACUUAGUUCCUGGUCAGCUCGCAAGUUGAUAUUAUCACGUCCUACACCGUCCAUAGGAUGGGGGGCCACCUCCCAUUACAUCACUCCUCAAACACCCGAGGAGCCGGCAGGCGGAUUUGAACCCGGGUCGACUGGGUCGACUGGGAGCAGAAGUCAGGCCUUAACCUCUGCCAGCCGCCUGCCUAUAUGUGCAUGCAUGCAUAGGCAUCCAGCAGGCUAUCGGAGCCAUGCAUAGGCAUCCAGCAGGCUAUCGGAGCCAUGUACAGGAGCUCGCAAACAUUAACGACGAAACUGCUAUAUGUCUGUAUCAACCAAUAAAGCUCAUUCAUGUCAGAACGGAAUAGUGCUAGUUACGUUUUAUAGAUGCUUUCCAUUGGCAGUGAUACAGACUGAAGGCGGACGAUCCUCCC